This 253-nucleotide ribosomal RNA is filed under the name uncultured bacterium. RNAcentral's name for it is "partial 16S ribosomal RNA". It matches the Rfam family "Bacterial small subunit ribosomal RNA", at positions 524 to 776 of the family's 1533-position model. The record is from RNAcentral.
UACGUAGGGAGCAAGCGUUAUCCGGAUUUAUUGGGUGUAAAGGGUGCGUAGACGGGAAUUUAAGUUAGUUGUGAAAUCCCUCGGCUCAACUGAGGAACUGCAACUAAAACUGGAUUUCUUGAGUGUUGGAGAGGAAAGCGGAAUUCCUAGUGUAGCGGUGAAAUGCGUAGAUAUUAGGAGGAACACCAGUGGCGAAGGCGGCUUUCUGGACAAUAACUGACGUUGAGGCACGAAAGUGUGGGGAGCAAACAGG